GAUGAACGCUGGCGGCGUGCCUAAUACAUGCAAGUCGAGCGAACAGAUGAGGAGCUUGCUCCUCUGACGUUAGCGGCGGACGGGUGAGUAACACGUGGAUAACCUACCUAUAAGACUGGGAUAACUUCGGGAAACCGGAGCUAAUACCGGAUAAUAUAUUGAACCGCAUGGUUCAAUAGUGAAAGACGGUUUUGCUGUCACUUAUAGAUGGAUCCGCGCCGCAUUAGCUAGUUGGUAAGGUAACGGCUUACCAAGGCAACGAUGCGUAGCCGACCUGAGAGGGGGAUCGGCCACACUGAAAUUGAGACACGGUCCAGACUCCUAGGGGAGGCAGCAGUAGGGAAUCUUCGGAAAUGGGCGAAAGCCUGACGGAGAAACGCCGCGGGAGUGAUGAAGGUCUUCGGAUCGUAAAACUUUGUUAUUAGGGAAGAACAAAUGUGUAAGUAACAAUGCACGUCUUGACGGUACCUAAUCAGAAAGCCACGGCAAACUACGG
RNAcentral lists this ribosomal RNA (496 nucleotides) under uncultured bacterium. Its description in RNAcentral is "partial 16S ribosomal RNA". It matches the Rfam family "Bacterial small subunit ribosomal RNA", at positions 28 to 506 of the family's 1533-position model. The record is from RNAcentral.